UUGGGACUGGUCGGGAUAGCUCAGCUGGUAGAGCAGAGGACUGAAAAUCCUCGUGUCACCACUUCAAA
RNAcentral lists this transfer RNA (68 nucleotides) under Crawfurdia campanulacea. RNAcentral describes it as "partial tRNA-Phe". The stretch from base 10 to 68 matches the Rfam family "tRNA", at positions 1 to 57 of the family's 71-position model. Rfam says of the family: Transfer RNA (tRNA) molecules are approximately 80 nucleotides in length. Their secondary structure includes four short double-helical elements and three loops (D, anti-codon, and T loops). Lineage: Eukaryota; Viridiplantae; Streptophyta; Magnoliopsida; Gentianales; Gentianaceae. The record is from RNAcentral. RNAcentral also lists the same sequence under 1 other name.